UACUACAUCAGUGUUAUGUUAUUUUUAUGACUUCAUCUUUAUACAGUCGGGUUCGGGUUCGGCGGCCAUAGCGAAUUUCGGCGAGAUUUUACCCCAGUGAAAAAGGCUUGUAAUCUACCUUUCCUCAAACCUGGAAGAUAUGUUUUGUUCCUAACCAAUCCAUUCUCUAAGUGAAGUGAAGCCUGGCUGUUGGUCUUCCUUUGGGAAAUAUACAGUGAAAUAA
Long non-coding RNA from Saccostrea cuccullata (small rock oyster), 223 nucleotides. RefSeq lists it as uncharacterized. NCBI's taxonomy places the organism in Eukaryota, Metazoa, Mollusca, Bivalvia, Ostreida, Ostreidae. The record is from RefSeq and is a predicted model, not a curated record. The transcript has 2 exons.